Molecule: ribosomal RNA, 515 nt
Filed under: uncultured soil bacterium
Lineage: Bacteria
Description: bacterial SSU rRNA
Rfam family: Bacterial small subunit ribosomal RNA
Source: RNAcentral
AGGACGAACGCUGGCGGCGUGCCUAACACAUGCAAGUCGAACGGGACCCGCAAGGGUUCAGUGGCGGACGGGUGCGUAACACGUGAGGAACAUGUCCUUCGGCGGGGAAUAGCCGGCCUAACGGCCGGGUAAUUCCGCGUACGACGGUUGGGGCGCAUGCCUCGGCCGUGAAAGCAGCAAUGCGCCGAUGGAGUGCCUCGCGGCCUAUCAGCUAGUUGGUGAGGUAAUGGCUCACCAAGGCGACGACGGGUAGCUGGUCUGAGAGGAUGAUCAGCCACAUUGGGACUGAGACACGGCCCAGACUCCUACGGGAGGCAGCAGUGGGAAUAUUGCGCAAGUGGGCGAAAGCCUGACGCAGCGACGCCGCGUGUGGGAUGGAAGGUCUUCGGAUUAGUAAACCACUGUCGGGAGGACGAAUGCGCCGCGAAGGCGAAGUGACGGUACCUACCGAAAGGAACGACACCGGACUAACGUCGUAGUCGACCGAGCCAACGGCCCGCGGUUAAACGUCCGUA